UACGGAGGGUGCAAGCGUUAUCCGGAUUCACUGGGCUUAAAGGGUGCGUAGGUGGGUUGGUAAGUCCGUGGUGAAAUCUCCGAGCUUAACUCGGAAACUGCCGUGGAUACUAUCAAUCUUGAAUACUGUGGAGGUAAGCGGAAUAUGUCAUGUAGCGGUGAAAUGCUUAGAUAUGACAUAGAACACCAAUUGCGAAGGCAGCUGGCUACACAAAUAUUGACACUGAGGCACGAAAGCGUGGGGAUCAAACAGG
This 253-nucleotide ribosomal RNA is filed under the name uncultured bacterium. RNAcentral's name for it is "partial 16S ribosomal RNA". It matches the Rfam family "Bacterial small subunit ribosomal RNA", at positions 524 to 776 of the family's 1533-position model. The record is from RNAcentral.